This 259-nucleotide long non-coding RNA is filed under the name Homo sapiens (human). RNAcentral describes it as "HSALNT0373624". The record is from RNAcentral. Lineage: Eukaryota; Metazoa; Chordata; Mammalia; Primates; Hominidae.
UUCUCUAUCCUGCCACCAUGUGAAGAAGGACGUGUUGCUUCCCCUUCCACUAUGAUUCUGCAUUUCUUGAGACCUCCCGAGCCAUGCAGAACUAAGAUACUUGAGGCCUCCUUAAAUUAGUUGCAGUAACACAUGGAACAAGAGAUCCACAUUCUCCAACAAUAUAGAAACCAGAAUUCAGCAGCUCUGCAAGAAAUCUAGUCAACACAUUUAUUAUGAUGAUUUAUUAUUCACUGAGCACCAACUCAGUGCUUCUUAU